CUGCUGCCUCCCGUAGGAGUCUGGUCCGUGUCUCAGUACCAGUGUGGGGGACCUUCCUCUCAGAACCCCUAGACAUCGUCGCCUUGGUGGGCCGUUACCCCGCCAACAAGCUAAUGUCACGCAUGCCCAUCCGUCUCCGGAGUUGCCUCCUUUGGCCGAAAGAAGAUGCCUCCCCUCGGCCACAUGCGGUAUUAGGCCGGAUUUCUCCGGGUUAUCCCGCUGAAACGGGCAGGUUGCAUACGCGUUACUCACCCGUGCGCCGGUCGCCGG
RNAcentral lists this ribosomal RNA (270 nucleotides) under uncultured bacterium. Its description in RNAcentral is "partial 16S ribosomal RNA". The record is from RNAcentral.